UCUGCGCCCCAACUUGAACGGAGCUCUUUUUGCGAGGAGGAACGAGGAGCAAAAAAGCGGGAGUGGUAGGUGGAAAGAGGC
This 81-nucleotide unclassified non-coding RNA is filed under the name Kaistella jeonii. Its description in RNAcentral is "Chryseobacterium jeonii Flavo-1 RNA". Lineage: Bacteria; Pseudomonadati; Bacteroidota; Flavobacteriia; Flavobacteriales; Weeksellaceae. The record is from RNAcentral.